Non-coding RNA from Chitinophaga pinensis DSM 2588, 108 nucleotides. The record is from Rfam. Lineage: Bacteria; Pseudomonadati; Bacteroidota; Chitinophagia; Chitinophagales; Chitinophagaceae.
UUGCACCCGGCAAGUCUUAUACGACCAGCUCCUACUGAACUCCCCCAGGACAGGAAUGUAGCAAGGGUAGGUGGUUGUAGCGGUGCGAUGUAAGUAACUUGCCGUUUU